Molecule: ribosomal RNA, 256 nt
Filed under: Staphylococcus aureus
Lineage: Bacteria; Bacillati; Bacillota; Bacilli; Caryophanales; Staphylococcaceae
Description: partial 23S ribosomal RNA
Rfam family: Bacterial large subunit ribosomal RNA
Source: RNAcentral
GAGCUGUCCUUAGUACGAGAGGACCGGGAUGGACAUACCUCUGGUGUACCAGUUGUCGUGCCAACGGCAUAGCUGGGUAGCUAUGUGUGGACGGGAUAAGUGCUGAAAGCAUCUAAGCAUGAAGCCCCCCUCAAGAUGAGAUUUCCCAACUUCGGUUAUAAGAUCCCUCAAAGAUGAUGAGGUUAAUAGGUUCGAGGUGGAAGCAUGGUGACAUGUGGAGCUGACGAAUACUAAUCGAUCGAAGACUUAAUCAAAA